GAAUCCAUAGGUUAAUGAGGCGAACCGGGGGAACUGAAACAUCUAAGUACCCCGAGGAAAAGAAAUCAACCGAGAUUCCCCCAGUAGCGGCGAGCGAACGGGGAGGAGCCCAGAGCCUGAAUCAGCAUGUGUGUUAGUGGAAGCGUCUGGAAAGGCGCGCGAUACAGGGUGACAGCCCCGUACACAAAAGCGCAUGUGCUGUGAGCUCGAUGAGUAGGGCGGGACACGUGGUAUCCUGUCUGAAUAUGGGGGGACCAUCCUCCAAGGCUAAAUACUCCUGACUGACCGAUAGUGAACCAGUACCGUGAGGGAAAGGCGAAAAGAACCCCGGCGAGGGGAGUGAAAAAGAACCUGAAACCGUGUACGUACAAGCAGUGGGAGCACCCUUUGGGUGUGACUGCGUACCUUUUGUAUAAUGGGUCAGCGACUUAUAUUCUGUAGCAAGGUUAACCGAAUAGGGGAGCCGGAGGGAAACCGAGUCUUAAC
This 486-nucleotide ribosomal RNA is filed under the name Salmonella enterica subsp. enterica serovar Enteritidis. Its description in RNAcentral is "partial 23S ribosomal RNA". It matches the Rfam family "Bacterial large subunit ribosomal RNA", at positions 160 to 688 of the family's 2925-position model. The record is from RNAcentral. Lineage: Bacteria; Pseudomonadati; Pseudomonadota; Gammaproteobacteria; Enterobacterales; Enterobacteriaceae.